This 711-nucleotide unclassified non-coding RNA is filed under the name Hevea brasiliensis (rubber tree). Lineage: Eukaryota; Viridiplantae; Streptophyta; Magnoliopsida; Malpighiales; Euphorbiaceae. The record is from RNAcentral.
CUGAAUUGAAUGUAGAUAGGUCAGUUGAACUAACAGCACAGGAAGAAAUUGGAAAUAUGGGGGUUUCAAAGGUGAUCAGAGCUGACCAGAAGAAAUUCUUCUUUGAUCUUGGUAGCAACAACAGAGGUCAUUUCUUGAGAAUUUCUGAGGUUGCUGGUUCUGACAGGUCCUCCAUAAUUCUCCCACUGUCUGGGCUGAAGCAGUUUCAUGAAAUAGUGGGGCAUUUUGUGGAGAUAACAAAAGAUAGAAUUGAAGGAAUGACAGGUGCAAAUGUUCGGACUGUGGAUCCCCCACAGAGAUGAAUGUGAAUAACUCCUGGAGGCUAAUGUAUGUUGAUGAAACGUGUUAUUCAUAUUUGGUAAAAGGGGUUGCUGUGGUGCUGCAAAUAUGUGUUUGAUUAGGGGUGGGGUGCAAUUGUGCGUAGCUUGUUUCUUGUUAAAUUCUUGCCUUGUCUGACUCUUAAGUCUAGAAAUAAUCCGAUUGAUCUGUUUGCUGAACAGAAAAGUUUCGGAGAUAGUAGCCAUGAGUAGCUUUGAAUAGGGAAUAACAGAAGAAACAAAUCAGAUAUUUGUAACUGUGAGUGUGGCACCCUUGUUAUUACAUUUCAAUAAUGCCGGUUCCAUAUGUUCUUGUAUUUCAGGUCUUCUAGCUGUAAUAAUUGCGAAAAUGGCCGUUUGCUUGCAAAUAAGCAAUUUAACCCGGUAAUGAGAA